AUUGAACGCUGGCGGCAGGCCUAACACAUGCAAGUCGAACGAGUGGCGGACGGGUGAGUAAUGUUUGGGAAACUGCCUGAUGGAGGGGGAUAACUACUGGAAACGGUAGCUAAUACGGCAUACCAUCAGAUGUGCCCAGAUGGGAUUAGCUAGAGGGUGGGGUAACGGCUCAACUAGGCGACGAUCCCUAGCGGGUCUGAAAGGUUGACCAGCCACACUGGAACUGAGACACGGUCCAGAAUCCUAGGGGAGGCAGCAGUGGGGAAUAUUGCACAAUGGGCGGAAGCCUGAUGCAGCCAUGCCGCGUGUAUGAAGAAGGCCUUCGGGUGAUAAAAUACUUUUGGCAGGGAGGCGUUAACCACAGAAGAAGCACCGGCUAACUACGUGCCAGCCGCCGCGGUAAUAC
Molecule: ribosomal RNA, 406 nt
Filed under: uncultured bacterium
Lineage: Bacteria
Description: partial 16S ribosomal RNA
Rfam family: Bacterial small subunit ribosomal RNA
Source: RNAcentral